AAGCCAGUCCCAAAGACCACCUGAGGCCAAUUUCCAGACCUCUUGACAGGAGAUCCGCUUCCCUUCCCGGACAUACCUGCAGGCUGGGCCCACGGGCCUUCCCCUCGGCUUGGGACACUCUCCCCCAACGGCUUCUCCAAGGAGAUAUUCGGAAGGAAAGGGGAGGACCGCUCCCCUUUCCUCUGGCAUCUGAAACUCCUCUUCAGCGAGUCCAGCCUUUUGGCUGACGGCCCGCGGCUUUUUCGCUUGCCUGUCUCCUAGGAGUGCUUUCUUUCUCCUGCGCUUUACACCAGGAGAGCUUCCUUUGGAACUCUCCACCCCUUGAUCCUCCUGGGCUCCAGCCUCGGGUGCCCUCCUUUGGCAAGAGGCUUCCCUUUUCUUGGCAGGAGGACUGCGCGGCUCCUUCUCUGCUUCGCGGGAGGCCCCUCUCAUCAGCCUCGUUGCUGUUCCUUCCAGAAGACGCUUCUCCCUUGGCGGAGCGGCAUCCUUUGUGCAAACCUGCCCUUGGAACUCUCCACCCCUUGAUCCUCCUGGGCUCCAGCCUCGGGUGCCCUCCUUUGGCAAGAGGCUUCCCUUUUCUUGGCAGGAGGACUGCGCGGCUCCUUCUCUGCUUCGCGGGAGGCCCCUCUCAUCAGCCUCGUUGCUGUUCCUUCCAGAAGACGCUUCUCCCUUGGCGGAGCGGCAUCCUUUGUGCAAACCUGCCCUUCAGAAGUACGGACGGUCGGUGCAGGAAAGCUCAGCUUGGGUUCCCGAGAGUGCUGAAGUGGCCUGUUUUUGUGCGGUCCGGCCCUCCUGCCCGUAAGGGGCCAACGGUUGCCUCCAACACUUUGGCCCGGGGGAGGCCCCACCAGCCUGACUCCUUGACGGUCCCCUCCGGGAGAAUCAAAAUGCCUCUCUCCGGUGCAAGGGAAAGGGCCCGCUUCUUCCAGAGAAAUGACUUCCGGAGAUCCUUGGGGUGGGUCUGAACUACCUGGAGGGGCACAUGUCCUAUCAGCCCCUGCCCAGUGGAGAAUCAAACUCCCAACAUCUGACUAACGUCCUAUUAAUG
RNAcentral lists this long non-coding RNA (1048 nucleotides) under Pogona vitticeps (central bearded dragon). RNAcentral's name for it is "lncRNA (ENSPVIG00000004931.1)". The record is from RNAcentral. Lineage: Eukaryota; Metazoa; Chordata; Lepidosauria; Squamata; Agamidae.